Molecule: ribosomal RNA, 168 nt
Filed under: Salmonella enterica subsp. enterica serovar Enteritidis
Lineage: Bacteria; Pseudomonadati; Pseudomonadota; Gammaproteobacteria; Enterobacterales; Enterobacteriaceae
Description: partial 16S ribosomal RNA
Rfam family: Bacterial small subunit ribosomal RNA
Source: RNAcentral
GGGCCUUGUACACACCGCCCGUCACACCAUGGGAGUGGGUUGCAAAAGAAGUAGGUAGCUUAACCUUCGGGAGGGCGCUUACCACUUUGUGAUUCAUGACUGGGGUGAAGUCGUAACAAGGUAACCGUAGGGGAACCUGCGGUUGGAUCACCUCCUUACCUUAAAGAA